UGAUUUGAGAGCUGUUCCUCUCCAGAACAUUGAUGGUGAAUGGUUUACUGAUGGGUCCAUUUUUUUGAAGAUGGGGACAGAAAGACCUUCCUGACUCAUGAGAACCCAGAGAAGACCUGAAACUGCUGUUCCCCAGAACCCCUCAAGCACUGGAAAGAAAGGUAUUGUAUGGAGAAGGGGAACUUGUCUGUAUCUUCUCUUAUUAACCCUUUGCACUUCUCUUUGUUACUUUCCACUCUCUUCUCCAAGUUAACUGUUUCCUCUCAAACUACAUGAAGCUUUUCAGUGCCCUUUGAACCAUUCAUCCCAAGAACCCAGGUCCUACUCAGAGUGUCUUUUUCUCCAGGUCCCUUUGCCCCACUUUUGGGGAUUUCUCCCGGGAAGGGCAGGGAGGGGGAGGUGUGUGGGGGGGUAAUGACUCCUUGGUUAGGUUAGGAAAUUCCAUAGGCAGCAGAAGCCUCAGGAUUGUGGUGUGUGCUGUGGGCAUCCUCAAGGCAGUUGACAUCUGUGACCUGAUGGACUCGUGGCAAAGGCCACAUUUCUGUAACUCACUGCACCUACUACCCUGGAUGUUUCCCUAUUUGUACUAGCCAUCCCCUUGCCACCAACUUGACCCUAACUACUUCUUGUUUUCCUGCCAGAAAAUCUCUCUCAUUCAUAUACACAGAAACUGUCAGUGGAAGCUGUGGGGGCUUUAUUUCAACCCAGAUGUGGGGUCCUGGACACCACAAACACUAGUGGAGAAAAUGGAUGUAACCAUCUCACAUCUACCUUAGUUUCACCUCAGCCACCUGUACUUGCUAAAUUGAGGGCUUGAGCACUCACUGUACCUAUAACUAUGGACCAGCUAAGGAGAGAAUUGUGCAGUACUUGUUCCAAAAUUAUCUCAGCACCCUCACCCACAACACUUCUGCCUCACUCCCCCCGAUACGAAAGGGUGUAUAGAAUAAGGGUAGUGGGACAAAGUGUGUAGAUUAAUGGGAAAAAAUAAAGAGGGGUUGAAAGGAUGGCCUAGAAUCAAGUGGGAUUCAGAAGGGUGUUUAUUAAUCAGAGUGGGAUGAGGAGUGGAGACAAAUGGGAAUGAGAAAAAGGGGCAAGGAAAGUGUAGGGGGAGAAGGAAAGGGAGAGGUCCAUGGAUGGGAGAAGUUAAAUAACAGCAAGACAAGUUAAAGGAUAAAAUAAAGUAGAAGAGUCAGCAGAAAUAAGAAAUAAACUGAGUGCAGCCUCAUCUUAUCAUCAGAAUGUGGCCUCAACUUAUACCCUAAUAAUAACUAGGUUUUCAACAGCAACCUGUGCUGUAACCAAAAGCCCAGGUGUUCCCUUACCUUAGACAAAGUUGGAAAUUUCCCUCCUGUUAAACUGCCAUUUUUUUUUUGCCACAGUUAAUAUGGGAAGGAGUGUGUCAUUGGCUAUAGAUACUAUGUAAACCUGGACUUCCAGCCACUUGGAGAAAAGAUUGAUUCCAGUGCUACCAAGAACAAUUACUACCCUAAAGAUGAGCCUGGAAUAUUAGACUGCUAACAGCUUCCCACCCUACAGUCCAGGAAAUCUCCACACCAAAGUGUCAGGUAGAUGUUUAAGAAAUAUUUAGCCUGACUCCUCAUCAGUCUGGAGGUUUUAAGACUCAAUCCCAGACUUCUCCAAUUGCUGCAGGGCAACUUUUGGGCAACACAGCCUUGAGGCAAUAAAGCCUCAGGGGUGGUCUAGACCCCAGGUUGUAUAAGGCCCACAAAAUCAUUUGCUAAGGCAUGCACAGACUUAGGUUAGUUCCUAAUAUCAGCAGGACCCAAGGAACCUGUUUCCACAGCUGCCUCCAAUCUAAGAGCACGCCUGCAUUGGCUACAUUCUUUGCCUUUCCUUUUCAUGACUUCUUGAUAAAAUUUCAACUUUAAACAAUCCCUUUCUAUCAGGUCCCUUUUCCCUUAAUGUUACCAUCUUUUUCAAGUCUUAUCCUGGGAUAAUUCCGACUAUCUGCUGCCUUCAUUCCAUUCAUGCUACUGAAUGAAGCUAGAGAAAAAUCAUGAAACCGUGCUCACUGGUCUACUACAAGCUGAUCUCAUAUAAUCUCACCCUGGCAAGGCAGACCUUUGAUACCUCCUACACGAACUCAUUACCCUAUUCCCCAUGGCAGUUCUUCUAAGCUUUUGCUUCUUUCUUCAAACUUGCCUCCUAUUUUUCUGAGCAGCAGGAGGCCAGUCAUUGAGAGCUUUCCUUUCUCUAUCUCUCCUCACCUUACAAGGAUGCUUUCUGCCACUCUCAUGUCUUUCACAUCCCUCAUAUAAAGAGGUGGUUCCCUUCUCCUGCCAAACAAACCUUUCUCUGUACACAAAGAUCCCAUCCUAGCCCAUCUCCUCCAGAAUGUUACUUUCUCUACUUUCCAACUCGCUCUCUUUACUGACAAACAUGACCAUGUCUCCCCAUCCUUAAUUGGAAGCCCUUGUUCCAUCCUUCCCUGAUAGCUAUCAUGUCUCAUCUCUCCAGAUCUUUCUCCUAGACAAAGCCAACUAGAAUCAAUGCUUCUUAUUUCCUUUCAUUCUCUUAAUAGAAUUUCUGUAUCUCAAAGUAGAAUUUCUGAUCUCACUAUUCAACUGAAACCACUCCUUCCAAAUUGAAUUCUGAUUAAUACUGAUCUCUUAACUGUCAGACCCAAAGGCCAUUUCUCAGUCAUUAAACUUCUGCAAGCUCUAACACAAAUACCCUCUUCUACAUACUCUCUUCUAGGUACCACUCUAUGGCACCAUAGUAUACUACAAGUAGAAUAUCCAUUCUAGUCUCCCUCUUUAUUGGAUCUGUGCCCAAGACAUGCUCACUAAACAUUUGUGUGUUCCCUGGGACUUUAUCCUGGGGCCUCUUCUCUUCUGCCUUGGUAUCUUUUAUUUGGUGAUCUCAUCAACUCCAGUCAAUUGAAUGAUCAUCUCUAAACUGAUGAUUCUCCGAUCUACUCAUCCAUCUCAACCCUCUCUCCUAACUCUCAGAUCUCUGUCCCCCACUACCACCUCCACAUCUCAAAUGGGAUUUUCUGUACACAUUUUAAAUACAAGUCCAAAACUCAACUCACCAUCUGACUUCACAAAACUUCCCAUCUUUAAACUUGCCUAAUACUGUUAAGGACACCAUUAAUCCUGCUAGUUAAUCAGAUUCAAAACCCAGAUAUCAUUGUUGAAUUCUCACUUUUUUUCACUCCCCAUAUCCAAAGCAUUACCUUAUACUGUUGGUUAUAUCAUUGUAACAUUUCUAUCAUAUACACCCUUCUGGCAUCUGGUAUUAUUACUAACCUGGGGGAAAUACUCAUCAUGCCAUGAAGCAUUAAUCUAGUGAUCCAAGUUUCUCCUCCCUCCAGUCCUCUUCCAGUGAGCGAUCCAGUUAAUCUUUCCAAAGCAUAUAUCUGUCACUUCCCCAACCCCCAACUCAAACUUUAGUGACUCCCUAUCCCCUCUAUUAUCAAAUAUAAAAUUUUGUGUAGCAUUUAAAGCUCUUCACAAACUGUCCCCUCUCCUUUUCAACCUUCUUAGCAAUUAUUCCUUCCACUAACUAUGGUAUCUAAUCUAGUAAAAGGGACCUUCCUGCUUUACAAUACCUCCCAAGGGCACAGGUCUAGGAAGUGACAGAUAUAGGACUAUAGAAUCUAUCAGAUCACAUUGCCCCUACAACCCUCAAGCCCACCAACCCAAGCCUCUCCUCACCAGAUUCCUCUUUCCAGUCUUCUUCCCCCUUCCAUUGUAAGUCAACAUACUCCUCCGAUUUUUAAAAAACUAGCCUUUUUGCUGCUUUUCAGAUGAGAUUCCUUCUCCUGUCUGUGUAUAAAGCAUUGACUGUCCUCAUGCUUGCAAUUCUCUCCUUCCUUAUCUCUGCCUCCUAAAUUCCUUGACUUCCUUCAAAUCCCAGCUGAAGUCUUCUAUCAGAAGCCUUGACCUGUUCAUUUGAGCGCCCUCUUGCAUGGAUUAUCUCCAAUUGAUCCUAUAGACGACAGCUAGGUGAAGAAAGGACCCAGGGAAAUAAUGGAUGACAGACUGAGUGGAAGGUCAAAGGGAAUCUAUUGUCACAAUAAAUAUGACUAUCCCUUUAAGAGGCUCAUAAAGAUGAAAAGGGACAAGUGUAGGAGCCCCCUCCCAAAAAGAUUGCUUUUUUCCUUCCAAAUUCAACAUGAGAUUUGUGAAUGAAUUCUCAUUCUAUUGCGAGGGUUUCAGUAUAAAGUAAACUGCUGAUUGGGUACAGAGAGAAGGUAAGAGAGGAAAAAAAUAAGCCUUUAAUAAAUCACUUCCUCUGUACCAUGCAUGGCUCUAAUUGCUUUACAAAGAUUCCUCAUUUAUUUCUCCCAGCUCUAGUUCAUUUUGAAUUUGAGAAAGUAAAGGCAGAUUGAGAUUAUAUGAAUUUAUCAAGGCUCACACAGCUAGUCAAAUCUGAGCAUGGACUUGAUCUGAGGUAAUCCUGAUUCCAAGUCUUGUAUUCCAUGCAUUGUACAACUUCACCAUUUUGAAUAAUACUCAGGUUCAAAGGUGUGAAUGAAGAAAAAGGAAAGAGUGUUAGAGAAGACAGAGAAGAAGAGGAGGAGGAGGAUAGUGGCAAUUUUGUUGCCCUAUCAAAAAAGAAAGCCACAUAUCUGUUUUGGAUUGGACAUAUAGCAGAGAGAAAUUUAAAAAAAAAAAAAAGCUGAAUCAAAAAGUUUUAGAGAAAAGCCUUUCAAAUUUCCCUUAUCUGUUCAUACUGGACACAAAUAUUUUUUUCCUUAUUAAUGGACAGACAGUGACCAGAAUUACUGUUAAUCUUCGCUAAAAAAAAAAAAAAAAAAAAAAUGAAUUGUGGGUAAAAGAAUGACAAAACUAUUUAGUGAGAAUCAGUGGGAAAUAUAGUUUUGACACCCCAUUAAGGCAGAGUGGCUUAUAUUCAGGAUACUAAGUAUCUUACAAGCUUCCUGUCUCUGAACAAAUACACUAUCCUGCAAUCACAGAAGUGAAAUGAGGGAGAUUAGUAGUAUAAAGGAAAACUGGUGCCUUGUUAUGUCAGGUCUACCUCAAAUAUCCUAUUUAGGAUGAGAACCCAGCAUAAGCUAGAAAUUUUCCACUUAAGGUGCAAUCUUGUUUCUAGAAGUUCUUAUAUGUAAGAGGCUUUGUGCUAAUUUUGUGGGGGUGGGAAUACCAGAAUAUAUGUAGGAGGAAUGAGGAAGUUUGUAUGUGCUCAGUGGGGGGAGCAGCUACGAUACCAUUUAUUUAUACCUGAUGAGAUAAACCUUCUCCCCUGGACUCUGGGGAGAUAGCACAAACCACCUAAGAUUCAGCUACAUACAAAAUGAUUUUUAUUCUCAUUCCUAAUAAGCUACUAUUUUCUUAAGUGGAAGUAGGGUCUGUAAAGUCUUAAGAGACCUGGCUUUCAAAGUCAGGAAGAUCAGAGUUUAAAUUCAGUCUCAGACAUAACCGAGUAUCCUUGAAGCAAAGUCAUUUAACCUGUUUGCUUCAGUUUCCUGACAGGGUUGUUGUAAGGAUUAAAUGACAUGGUAUAUUGUCAAGGCUUAGCACAGUGCAGAGGAACAAGGUAGAUGCUUCAUCUUAUUUUCUCCCUCCCUGAUGUGAACCUGAAACUGCCUCGAGGUCCUAAUUGCUUAGAGCUUCCAAGCAAUCGUACUCCCACCCCCAGUUUAUGGAUAAAACUGAAACAUGGGAAACAUGUGCCUCCUGUUGGCAUGAGAGGAAAUGGGCAGACUGACAUCAAAGUUCUUUUUAUUUUUCUAACAAUUGACCUUCUAACAAAUGGUGGAGUUUUUCUGAUCUUCAAAUCAUAUUUUAAAUUCAUAAAAAAUUAUCUGCAAUCUCAAAAUCUAUAUAUAUUAAAUUCAUAAAUUUUUAAUUGUAGGGGGAUGGCACAGUUGUUCAUUUUACCUGAACAAAUACUUUGCCCUGCAAUGGCAAGAAGUAAAAUGAGGGAGAUUAGUAGUAUAAAGGAAAAUUAGAGCCUUGUUAUGUCAGAUCUACCUCAAAUACUCUAACUAGGAUAAAAGGGAAUUGGUAUCCACAGAGAACAUGACAUAAAACUAGAACUUGACCCAGCUGGUUUGCUUCAAGGCACUGAAAGGGUUAAGAAAGGCAUGUUCAGGGUAGAACUAACUAUAAGUUAAUACUUUCAAGUCCCUCAUGCUGGCUCUUCUGGUUAAUAUUUGAGUCACUUUUUUAACCUUUUCUCUUGUGAAUUUGAGAACACAAAUAGCAGAGAACUCUUGGCAGAAAGAUGCAGAGAUGGGAACCAAUGGACCAAUGGUCCUGACAGGUCCAUAGGAUAUUAUAAAAUCAAAGAAUACUGGAACUACUCUCAAAUUUUGUGAUUUGGGCAGUCUGGGGAAAGCUGACCAUUGUGCAUUAAGAAAAGACUUGAAACCACAGCCAAUAAAUGAACUUUCCCUUUAGAGAAUCAUCCUUUUUGCUUAUAGACUCGUGUUUCAUCCCCCAUUUCUUCUGUUGUUAUGCAAGAGUUUCUCAGUUGCUUCUUUCCAUUACUUUUACUGAUGAGGAGAGAGGCAAAAUGGGAUGGAGAAAUAAAGAAAUAAGGAAAGGGACCUGAAGCAAUUGAUCACUUUAAUCAAUUGUGUUGAUACAAGCUCUACUGCAAAAACAUACAACACACUGAAAAGCAAUGGCUUGACUGUGCCAAAAUAGCUAUUAGUGCAUUCUUGGGCUGCUACUCUUUUAGUUGGGAUGAUAAGUUAGUUAUUGUAGUAAGAGUUCUUGGUCCUUAUUGACAUGCUUUUCUCUAAGAAAAUCCUUCAAAUUCAGAAUGGGGAAAAGAAAUAGUUUAUUUCCCAAGGCUGAGAAUGAAUUAAAUAACAAACUAGUUCUUCUAUCAGUCACCAAAAAAUGAUGAAGAUACCAAAAUAUUUCAUUCUAACAGUAAGAAAAACAAAUACAUAAACUAGAAUACACCAGAUACAUACAGAGAAUAUGCAAAGUAACACUAGAAGGCAUAAUCCUAAUAGAAAACCAGGCUAGGAGAGGGGUGUACAGGGUCCAGAGGUUGAUAGCUAUGUGAGUAAAGAAAUGCAAACUACUGGUGGAGUGUUGUAAAGAAAAAAAUUAAAAUAUGCGUAACUAAAUGGAUGUUUAGAGGAGUUAUGGAUGACUGAGCCUGCAAAACUGGGUGACUGAAUAGGGAAUUUCAGAAGAAGGGAGAGUUUGGGGGACAAAACAAAUUGUGUUUUGGACAUGUUGAGAUUCAGUUGCAAAUUGGGCAUCUGGUUCAAAAUGACCAACAUAUAUGAGAAUUGGGGAGGACAGCUCAGAAGAGGUAUUGGGGCAGGAUCAAUAUAUCUGGGAGUGGUUUGCAUAAAGAUGACAAUUGGAUGUCAGGGAAAUUGAUGAGGUCCCCAAGUAGUAGCAUGCAGAGAAAAAAAAUGACCAGUGACAAAGGCAUAAAAAAUGUCACUCCCUGGAUCCAUGACAUGAAUAUAAAGAUCUAGUCAAAGAGACUAAAUGGCAAGCAGGUCACAUAAGUCAGUAAAGAACUUAGAGAAAACAGAAUCAUGAAAACUCUGAAAAGAGUAUCCCAAAGAAGAAGAAAAGGCCAAAAGUACCAAAAAUACUGCCAGAGAGAUCUUGAAGGAUCAGAAUUAUAAAAAAAGAUGUCUUCCAGUUUUAUACUUUAGAAGUUAUUAGUCACUUUUCAUUUCAAUUAGUAAAACUCAUCUGGGUGAUAAGGGAGAAGCCAGAGUGCAGAGAAUUUAGAAGAAAGAGUAAGUGGAGGUAUCAGCCAGUCAAUAAACAUUUAUUGUCUAUACUCUGGGUCAAGCUCCAGGCUAAGCACUGGGGGGCAUACAAAGAAAGGCACAAGCCAGGACCCAGCCUGUAGGAGCUCCCGGGUUAAGGGGGUGACUCCACGCAAAUAACUCUGUACACAUCAGUGGUUUACAAGAAAAAUGGGAAGUAAUGACGUUGUCCCUUGGGCUCCUGUAAGUGUGAAAUGAGGGAUAACACAUGUAAGUGAAAAGGUCCAGUUCUACUCAAAAGGCCACUCUGAGCAGAUCUCUGCUCCCUGAUCUGCUACUGACUUUCCCACCCACACAUUGUGUUUCCUGAUUCCUUCCCCUUUGCUCAUAUGUUCCCUUCUUCAUCCUCAGACUUAGUUCCAUUGCCGGGAAAAAGCCUCUGCCAGCAGGCCAAGUUCAUCCUAUUCCCAGGUCCCCCUCACCGGAUUUCACCAUGGUGGGGAAUAAGCUCACCACUGAGCAGGUGCCACAUCUCAACUGCCAGGCUGAAUUUGUGCCCCCUCAGGGCUCCAACACCUGGCCUUGCCUUGCAGCCCCUAAUGACGGAUGUGGCCAGUCUUGGCUAAGCCAUUACCUCCCAUUCAAUGCCUGCACAAUCAGGAAGCUACCCCAGCCUUCUCAACCACCUGCUUUCUGGGUCCUGAGCACCUCCCUGAGAUUGCUCCCAAGCAAGUCACUCAAAGGCCCCAGGCAUGGGGCUCACUAGGCUCUGUUUAGGGAUUUAAGGUGGUGGUGAGAAAAUUUAAAAGGCUCAUCCACUCUGCCUAUCAGGCUGAGAAAGAACUCCAAAUAGAAAGCCAAGUUCCACCCAGCCUUGAUCUCUGGGUCUUUGGUUCAUUUGAUCCAAAAAAGUGGGGAAAACAUUGGGCAUCCUUUUGAAUACUCUAUUAAAAAUAAAAAAUUUAAUUUUCAAAGGAAUUUGUGUUUGAGACUUCAAAAUUGUGUCUCAUUUCACAUGUUAUUUUUAAUUCUAUGUAGAGAAAGAAUAUAGGUGAAAAGUAUGGAUUUAUUUUUCCUUUUUAAAUAGAUUUUAAUUGGGAUUUUCUUUUUGAAAUUGAUUAUAUUCCAAUAGUCCUAGGAGUAGUCACUACCCUGAGGAUGAGCCUAGAAUAUUAGACUGCUAACAGAGUUGGCAAGCCAUCCACUCUUGUAUCCCUGAAAUCUCCACACCAUGGGUCUUGCAACUUGAUCAGAUAUUUAGCCUGGGCCCUCAUCACUCUGGAGAUUUUAGGCUCACCUCCAUGCCUUUCCAAAGGCCACUGGGCUAUUGUUGAACCAACACAGCCUUGGGGCUGAUCUAAUCCCCAGCAAGUAAAAGGCCUAUAAAAUCAUUUGCUAAGGCAACCACAAGCUAAACUGAAAGUUAGGCAUGUGUAGGGCACCAAACAUUCCCAAAACAAAAUCAGA
Molecule: long non-coding RNA, 9154 nt
Organism: Sarcophilus harrisii (Tasmanian devil)
Lineage: Eukaryota; Metazoa; Chordata; Mammalia; Dasyuromorphia; Dasyuridae
Exons: 3
Source: RefSeq, a predicted model, not a curated record